AUUGAACGCUAGCGGCAGGCUUAAUACAUGCAAGUCAAGGGGGUAGCAAUACAACCGGCGCACGGGUGAGUAACACGUACAUAACAUACCAUAUACUGGGGUAUAGCUUUGGGAAACUGAAGGUAAUCCCCCAUAACAUUGCGAGAGGGCAUCUGAUUGCAAUUAAAGUUUCGACGGUAUAUGAUUGAUGUGCGUUUGAUUAGCUUGUUGGUAGGGUAACGGCCUACCAAGGCGACGAUCAAUAGCUGGCGUGAGAGCGCGACCAGCCACACUGGAACUGAGACACGGUCCAGACUCCUACGGGAGGCAGCAGUAGGGAAUAUUGGACAAUGGGCGAAAGCCUGAUCCAGCCAUGCCGCGUGAUAGAUGAAGGCCCUCUGGGUUGUAAAUAUCUUUUAUCUGGGAAGAAACAAUCUUAUUCUUAAGAUCUUGACGGUACCAGAGGAAUAAGCACCGGCUAACUCCGUGCCAGCAGCCGCGGUAAA
This 485-nucleotide ribosomal RNA is filed under the name uncultured bacterium. Its description in RNAcentral is "bacterial SSU rRNA". It matches the Rfam family "Bacterial small subunit ribosomal RNA", at positions 30 to 524 of the family's 1533-position model. The record is from RNAcentral.